Molecule: long non-coding RNA, 8904 nt
Filed under: Sus scrofa (pig)
Lineage: Eukaryota; Metazoa; Chordata; Mammalia; Artiodactyla; Suidae
Description: lncRNA (ENSSSCG00015044234.1)
Source: RNAcentral
UUUUUUGGUUCUUUUACAGUGAUUAUGUUUUACAAUUUAACCUUUUCCUUUUACUAGUAGUUUCUAUUCUACAUGUACUCCUUUAGUGAUUGAGGUAGAAAUUUAAAUAUACACAUUUUAUUGAUUUUUUUUCUUUUCCAAUUCUUUCAUUCCAUUCCUUUUUCUUGUCAAAGAUCUCUCCCACUGGGUGAACAGAAGUGCUGACAACAGAUAUCUUUGCCUUCUUCCUGAGUUUAAAGAAAACUUUUCCAAAUUUUUAGCUUAGAAUGGUAUUUGUUGUUGGCUUUUGUAGAUACAUUUUAUUAGGACAACAGAGCCCCUUUCUAUUCUUAGUUUGCUUGAAGAAUUUUAAAAAUAAUAAACGAAGGUAAAAUAUUAUCAAACAUUUUCUUCAUUUAAUGAGACGAUCAUAUCCUUUUCUCCAUUAGUCUGUUAAUAAGGGUGAACUACAUUUUAUAUUUUCUAAUGUUAAAUCCUUUGUUUACAUAAUAAACCCACAUGGUCAUGAUUGAUGAUUUUUAUAUAGUGUUGGACUUAGUUUAAAAUAUUUUUAUUACAAUUUAAUUCCUUAUUUAAUACUUAAAGAAUCUUAUGGUAUGUUUGUGAAUGAGAAGUGCCUUAAUCUGCAGAAAGUUCUCAUUUUCUUCUAGGUUUAGAAGGCAUUAAAAAUAAUCUUUGGUGCACUUUUCCACAUCUAGUUGUACUGCUACAGACACGCUUCAAAACUUAAGUUACCUACACUUCCAGAAGCAAAACUCAUCAGGGAGGUUUGUGUUUUUUAAAUUCUGUUUUUUCUGUUCUUCCUACAAAGUUCAUGACAGAGCAAUUAAUGUUAUAAAACUGUAAAGUAAAAGUCCAACAUUAUUAUUUGAUAAAAAGAAAGAUUCCAUUCAGUAUACCAUACUUUCAGAAGUGGAGACAAAAAAAAUCCCAAAUUUCCUAAGGUUCUUUUUUAAAGGGGCUGGGUUUGGGAAGUUGAGGUCAAGUCUAUGUUUAAAAGGUCUCAAAGCAGUGAAAUUUACUACAAAAAGAAAACGUUAUCAAUUAAAUCUAGACUUCUUUUUUUCCCCUUGUUGCUCUGAUUCCCUCUGAGAAACUGCCCAAGAGGAUCCAUCGUUUUGGGGUAGAACUAGGACCCAUCUGGAUGUCUGUGGAGACCUAAUCUGCUCCUUUGAAAAAAUCCUUGGUGCAAGUUUGACUAAAUGACAUAUGGUAUCUUCUGGCUUAAAAAAAAAAAAAAAAAAAAGGAAUACUCUCUAAGGAAAGCCGUCAAGAUGAGGAAUGAAUGUGGCCAAUUUGGAGGGCUGAUUGUCAAAAGGGAUUUCACUUUAUCAUUGCUAUAUAGUUUCUGGAGAACUUUCUGUGCACUGGCUUCUGUGGCAGUGCCUACUCUCACAUUAUCAUCUCUAACCUGCCCAAUAAUGUAAGAGACAACUGACAUUGUUUUCUGUUUCAAGGGUAAAUAACAGUGGGUUACAGAAGUCAUGCCCCUUGCCCCUAACAACCCCAACUGGAGGUAUAUGACCGUGGACCUAAUAUCAGGCAUUUUGUCUCCAAAGAUGAAGUUGUUUAUUUCUCAGAAGGAUUAUUAGGGUAAAAACUUUGCAAGCUCUAGCUCUAUUUUACAUAUCAAGUUGAGCCCCCAUUAUAAAUAUGUUGCGCCAGUUAGUCAAAUGCAGAUAUAGUCUCUUCUGUUACGGAAUGAAGUCAGAAAAGCAAGGCUGUAACACUGUUUCAUAAACAAUUUUCUAACAUUUUCCUCGGCAAGAAACAGUGGCUGACCAUAUUUGCAUACAGUACUGUUCAUGACACCCAAUCCUAUCAUCCUAUCCUUUCCAACUCAGGGUGGCCACACUCUGUCCUGAGAAGGGACCCUUUACUUCUCCCAUGCACUGCGCUUCAGUUUGUCUCUUUUCAUAGUUGAACAGCCACAAGACUGCCUUCUCCCUCUUCUAUCAAGGUGUCUUCCUUUCGUCUUCAACACCAAGUCCUAUAUCUACUAUAAUAUUUAUUUAUUAAAUUGGAAUUUAACAUGCCUUUUCACCUGAGCUGUGUUUUUACUAGAUUUUUUAAAAAAAUUGUUAAUAGUGAUUGGUUGCAAAGUUGCAAAAGUUGUGACUGGUCUGUCUCAAGACUGCUUCCCGCCAUAAACUCAGCUAUUUCCAAUAUGUGGUUUUACAGACUGUGGGUAUUUUCAAGGCCCAUAUAUAUCAUAUUAGAACAGAAAUUCCAUAUUGCUUGGCUAUAAUUUAUUUGCCAUAUAAUUAUUGGCUCUAAUAAUUUUAUUAAACACUAGAAUUUUUUAUGACUGUAUUGGCUACUGAGUUACCUAUAAAUAGAAUAAAUUAAACAUUUCCUAAUAAUGUAGAGAUGGUUUAAAUGAAUUAAUUGGUGAAACACAAGCUAAUGAUAGGCUCUUUCCAACCAUUUUCUAGCACUUAAUAAACAAUUUCACUCCAAUCCUGAGAGCUUUACUUCAUCAAGUAUUAGUGAAACAUGAUGAAUGUAUGCAAACUGGAAAAAUAGUUUUUCAUUUCUGACUUGGGAAUAGGAGAUUUUAUGGUGGGGAUGUAGACAGGUGAUAAAAUCACACUAAUUUCUUAAUCCCUUUGAACUGUUUCCCUUAUGAAAAUUGAGAAUUUACAUUUGGUCUAACUUUUUAGUUGUUCGAGAGUACAUGCUUAAUAUAUUGAUUUCUAGUCUCUUAUAAAGAAGACACAAUCAUAAUUAAUUAGAAAUUCUGAUGAACUUGGAGAGUUUUAAUCAGAAACUUCAAUAAGUAUUCAGAGGAUAUAACCUAGUGUUUGAGUUCCCAGUGCUCAUGAUGAAAUUUCUGGCAGUUUUCAUGCUUAAUUGGGCCAAUGGAUCCUGUCUGUGUGAGGAGAGGAAACAAGGUCUUGCUUGUUUGGCAUUUACAAUGAUUUGAUUAAUGAUUACCUGGAAGCAUUAACAUUAGCAUCAUUGCAAUACCACCAGUAUUUCCUGUUCUUCUUGUGCUAAUAUUUAUUUUGCAAGAUGCAAAACUGACCUUUAAAUCUGUCACAUAAUUUAUUUAUCCUAUGAGGCUAUAUUGUUCUUGCUUAUGAGUUAGGGAGCCUUGCCUAAAUAUAACCUUACCUACUUGAGAGCUGUUUACUUGGUUUAGCAAAGUUGAUAGUUGAUCAGAAACACAAGCAGAUAGAACCAGAAAGAGACUUCACACAAGAUAGAAUUUUCUCAAACCUAAAUUUUGAAAUUACUUUACUUUCAAUAUGGGCUUAAACUUUUUUUUUUACAUUUGAUUUUGAAUUUAUACAUUUGUCUACCUCAGGAUUUUGCCCUCUAGCCUUAAUUUUCUCAGUCUCAUUCUUGUCACCUUCUUCUCAAGAUGAUUUCAUACACUUUCAUCCACUCACUGAUGACCCUCAAAUCAAGACCUCCUGUGCAUCUCUCUCUCUCUACUCAGUUAUAGGAGAAACACACCUGCAUAUCCUCUUGACUCCUCCUCCCUCCCAUGCUUAUCCUAUGAAUCAUCAAGUAUAAUGGAGAGUUGACCCUUGAGCAAUGGAGAGGGUGGCAUGCUGACCCUCUGUACAGUGGAAAGUCUCAAGAGGAGUUUAUAGUUGGCCAUCUGUAUCCAUGGCUCUGCAUCCACAGAUUCAACCAGCUGCAGAUGCUGUAGCACUAUAGUAUUAUGUGUUGAAAAAAUCCACAUAUAAAUGGACCUACAUAGUUCAAAUCCAUGAUGUUCAUGGGUCAACUGUAUUCUGUUUCUACUUCACUUCAUUUCCAAUGCCAUUCCCUUGAUUCAAGUCAGCAGGUAGGGUGGGGAGAGGGCUAGAACAAUCUCAGCAGUUUCCCAACUAAUCUUUCUACAUUCAUCCAGCUCCACAUUCAUGCUUUAUGAUUCUGCCAGGAUAAUUUUUCUGGUAAUAAUGACUUGUAGUAAUGUCCUGACUCUGCUAAAAACUUAUGUUCAGUGUAAAGCCCUAAGCAUGGUAUUUAUGGAGAUGAUCUAUGCUUACUCUCCUAUUGGUGCUUGAGGAGAAUUUUAUUGAAUACCUUUUAUGUGUUAAACACUAUUCCAGAUACUGAGAAUACAAAAGUAAAUUGGUCCACAGAAUCUCUGACCGCCAAGUCUCACUGUUAGUGGAGGAAGGUAGAAAACAAACAUGAAAACGUAUUUAGUGAUUUUAGGAUUGAUAGGCACUAUGAAUAAAAUAAAAUAGGACAUUACAGAGAGUGACUUAGAAUGCUACUUUGUUGUAGACUGCUCUGCUCAGAAAGGCAUCAAAGAAAGGAUGGCAUGUGAGUGGAAUCUUGAAUAAUAAGCAGAAACAUGUGGAAACCAGAGGAAAUCCUGACAUAAAGAUUUUGGGACUGGCAUGAGCGUGACACAUUUAAGGGAUGGGGGCCAGAGGGAACAGAGCAAAAAAUGUGAGUCCUGAUAUACCACACUUUUAAGUUCAUGAUUCCGAGUUUCAAUUCUAUUCUUUUUUUUGGGGGGGGCCACACCUGCAGCAUUUGGAGGUUACCAGGCUAGGGGUUGAAACAGAGCUACAGCUUCCGGCCUAUGCCACCGCCACAGCAAUGCCAGAUCCAAGCCAUGUCUGUGACCUACACCACAGCGCAUGGCAAUACCAAAUCCUUAACCCAUCCUCAACCGCAUGGUUCCUAGUCAGAUUUGUUUCCUCUGUGCCAUGACAAGAACACCUCAAUUUUAUUCUUCAUGCAGUGUGAAAUCACUGGAGGGUUUUAGGCAGAGAGAGUGGUGACCUGAUUUACAACACUAAAAACUUCCCUCAUCUAUAUGCUGAAAACUAUAUGACAUUGAUGAAAAAAUUGAAGACAAUGCAAAUAUAUGAAAAUACACAUGAUGACUUAAUAUUGUUAGAAUAUCAAUACUACUCAAAGUUAUCUCUAGAUUCAGUGGAAUCCCUAUCAAAAUUUCAAUGCAUUUUUCACAGAAAUGGAAAAAAAUCCUAAUAUUUGUAUGGAAACAUAAAGACCCCAAAUAGUCAAAGCCAUCUUGAAAAAGAAGAACAAAGCUGAAGAUCUCAUGCUUCCUGAUUUUAAACUAUAUUACAAAGCUGUAGUAAUCAAAAUAGUAUGGUACUGGCAUAGAAACAGACACAUCAAUAGAAAAGACUCAAGAGCCCAGAAAUAAACCCACACAUAUAUGGUCAACUAACAUUUGACAAGGGAGCCAAGAUACUCAGUGGGAAAGGACAGUCUCUUCAAUAAAUGGUGUUGGGAAAAUUUAGACAACCACAUCCACAAGAAUGAAACUGAGCCCCUAUCAUAUAUCAUGUAGAAAAAUUAACUCAAAAUGGAUUAGGGACUUAAACAUAAGACCUAAAACCAUAAAAAACUUCUAAAAGAAAACACAGGGGGAAAGCUCCUAGACAUCAAUCCUGGUAAUGAUUUUUAGAUAUGACACCUAAAGCAAAAGCCACAAAACCAAAAAUCAACAAGUAGGACUAUAUCAAGGUAAAAAUCUUCUGAAUAGUACAAGAAACCAUCAACAAAAUGAAAAAACAACCUACAGAAAAUAUUUGCAAACCAUAUAUCUGAUAAGAGGUUAAAAAUCAGAAAUGUAUAAUGCACUCAUACAGCACAACAGCAAAAAAAAAAAACCAAAAAACAAAAAAAAAAAGAAAAAAAUCUGAUUUAAAAAGUGUGGAGGACUUAACUAGAUCUCUAAUAGAUUUUCCAGAGAGGAUAUACAGAUGAUCAAAGGGUACAUGAAAAGAUGUUCAACAUCACCAAUCAUCAGGGAAAUACAAAUCAAAAAGUCAAAACCACAAUGAGAUCACCUUACACCUGUUAAAACGGCUAUCAUAAAAGACAAGAGAUAAGAAGUGUUGGUGAAGAUGUGAAAAAAUAAAAUCAUUUUGCCCUGUUGGUGGGAAUAUAAAUUGGUACAGCCACUUUGGGAAAAGUCUGGAGGUCUCCCCAAAAAACAAAAGAUAGAAUUAGCACUUGAUUCAACAAUCUCACUUCUGGGUUUAUAUCUGAAGGAGAUGAAAUCACUAUUUUGAAGAGCUAUCUACACUCCCAUAUUCACUGCAGCAUUAUUAUCAAUACCUAAGAUGUGGACACAACAAAGUAUUCAGUGACAGACAAAUGGAUAAAGAGAAUGUGAUACAUAAUAUAUACAUGACAUGUAUAUAUGUUUAUGUCUGUGUAUAUAUAAUAUAUAAUGAUAUAUAUAUACACAUAUAUAUUAAAUACCAGAAUAUACAUGAUGGAAUAUUAUUUGGCCACAAAAAAGAAAAACCUGCCAUUUACUACAACAUGGAUAGACCUUGAGCAUUAUGCUAAAUGAAAUGCAUUGAACAAAGACAAAUACUAUACGAUCUCAUAUGUGAAAUCUAAAACACCAAACUCAUAGAAACAGAAUAGAAUGGUGACUGUUGGGCUUAAAGGGGUGAGGGAAAUGAGGAGAUGUUAGUCAAAGGUAUAAACUUUUGAUAAUAAGGUGAAUACCUCCUGGGGAUCUGAGAGCAUGGUAGUUAACAAUACUGUAAUGUACACUUGACAGCUGCUGUGAGAUUUAGAGCUUUAAUGUUCUCACCUUAAUGAUAGUGAAAUGGUAAUUAUGUGAAGAAUGUGUUAACUCACAUAAUGUGGUAAACACUUCACAAUAUACAUUUGUAUCAAACAAUCAUAUUGUACACUUUAAACUUACUCUGAGUUAUACGGCAAUUAUAUCUCUAUAAAACUGGGGGGGGGGGGAAGUCUUUAAAAAGUUCCCUUCAGUGUUUUUCACUUCCUUGUCUCUCAUACUGUGCUAUAGCCAUGGUGAACUACUUUUGUCCUCACAAGAUUCUAAGACCCUUUCUCCAGGGCAUUGUGCACAUGUUUCUUCUGCCUGGAAUAUCUUCCUCAACACCUCCUUUUCUAUUUCCUCCUUCCAGCUUCCACCUGCCCUUUGGACCCCUCCAUGCAAAUAUCGUUGCCUAGAGGAAGUCUCUUCUCCAUCCCAGACUGAGACACACAUCCCUCCUUCAUGCUUUCAAGAUUCAGCAUCACAGGAGUUGUUCUAGCACAUUGAGAUGCUUAGCUAUCUACCUCUCUUACUGCAUCAUCUGCUUCUUGAAAACACACAUUGCCUGGUCGAUCCCUGUUUAUCCUGUACCAGCACAGAGCCCUGAUGUAGAACAGGCAUUCAAAACAUUUUCUGAAUGAAUAAAAUAGCUUUUUAAAGGAAUAGUAGCUAUUGAGUGCUUACAGGUAGAGAUGGCUUUAUGGAAACAAGCAUCAAAGUAGGUAUGCUUAAAAAUUUUCAAAGAAAAUAAACAGAAUAUGCUCCAAACUCCUUGUGAAUGUCCUGGCAGCUCUUUGUCUGAUAGCACAAUUUAUUAAGUGCCUUGAUUCCGCCGGUCCAAUCUUUUGAAUGCAUUUUCAUUUUCUCAGCACACAUUUCAAAAAUGCAACUGUAUUCUCCCAUUCUUUUCUACUAUUUUUCUAAAUCAUUUUCUGGAUUGCCAGUGCUUGCUAUUUUCCUUGUUAUUUUCUUUACCUUCCUAGGCUAGUACUCCCUCUUUCCUGGUUGCAUCUCUCAUUUUGCAUCCAGCCUCUUAAGCUCAUGUACUUGCACACUCACUUCUGAGCCAUUUUGUGUUCAUCAGGCAAGACAGCAACAACCUUCUGCAUGGAGAACUCUCACCCUGCUCCUACCCCACCCCACCCCUUUGUUUACAUACAGGCUUGUAAUUCAGGUGUCAGCUAAUUACUCAUUAUUCUUGGAUUGAUAGAUUACCUAGGUCUUUGCCUUCACUCUCCCACUUCUUUCUCCAUCUUUUGCCACAACUUGUUUGUAUUCUCACUGGAUAACAUGCCAAGGUGAAGAGAGGCAGUGAAAUGCAAGCGAGUCCAUUUUGAUCAUUUUGAGCAGUUCUCAUAAGAGGAUUUGAUGGGAAACAAUAAUAAAUGAUUGGCUCAAAGGAGGAUUAUAAACUGUCCACGGAUGUCCUUUAUCCAUGCUCUUUCUGGUCACCAUUCAAUAUGGAUGUUAGAAAGAAAAUGGGCAAAAGUGGGGGAAGCAAAACUUCAAGAGAUAAAUGAAAAGAAAAGAGAGCAAGAAGUGAGAGCCAGGUCAAGAGUAGAAUGUGGCUCAACCAAAGACUGAGUGCAGGCUGCCCUGGAUUUGAAGCAGCUUCCAUAGUGUGUCCUGAUGCAAAUAGUGUGUCUGUGGAUAAACAUCCAUCUGAUGCUUUAUUUAUCUGAUCUGCUGAUUAUUGGGUACACUACAGAUUAAAAAACCAAUAGGGUUGACUGUCUGAACCAUUCCACUUUAUAAUGGUCUUUGUACAAGAAGAUAUGAGCCACUGAAGAGUCCCCAGUUCCCAAAUGCUCACACAAAUAGACCCCUGCCAUACACACACAACUAGAUGGCACAUAACUAGUGCUUUCCUAAUUCCAAAGGGACCUAGAGAUUUGAAUUUUUUCUUAAGAAAAUCUACAAGAAAAAAAAAAAAGAAUAUUGCCAUGAAAUCUUAGGCACUUCAGUAAAGCAGUAGCUAACUAUUUUCCAUGAAGAACUCAGGGGAUGGAGGGUCUCAUUCUUAAUCCCCUUACAGCAAAUGCAAAGCCAUUGCCAUCUGCAUUUAUGCAGGGUCAUUCCCGCAUUAAUGGGAUCCUCUGUGUGCAAUGUGCCCCUCAGUAUAAUAGCCCUCAUUAGCGAAUGUACAGACAUUUCUGUGAAUAUAUUAAAAGGUUUUAAAAAAUUAGCCUUUGUUUAUAAUUCGAAAACAUCAGUGAAAAUGUAUUUUAUUUCAUGGGCUUUUCUGGAUACGUUAAGAUUAACAAUGAAGUACCCCCUUCUCCCACCUCCCCAUCAAACAUCAUAGAAGUUCAAAUCCUCACAUUGUCACGCAUUGUCUUGUCCCUGUCAAAAUCCUCUUGAUGUGUUUGGUGGAA